GCCGCGGGCCGUGACUGGCGCGCUGGGAUGGGACCGACCAUCGGGGAGCGGCCCGAGCGACGAGUGCCGUGCGCCUGGGCCGUACCG
This 87-nucleotide non-coding RNA is filed under the name Streptomyces mutabilis. RNAcentral's name for it is "Streptomyces luteus ZTP sequence". It matches the Rfam family "ZMP/ZTP riboswitch aptamer (pfl RNA motif)". Rfam says of the family: Previously known as pfl RNA. ZMP is also known as AICAR. Lineage: Bacteria; Bacillati; Actinomycetota; Actinomycetes; Kitasatosporales; Streptomycetaceae. The record is from RNAcentral.